GACGAACGCUGGCGGCGUGCCUAACACAUGCAAGUCGAACGGAGUUAAGUCUUCGGAUUUAACUUAGUGGCGAACGGGUGAGUAACGCGUGAGGAACCUGCCCCUCAGUGGGGGACAACAGUUGGAAACGACUGCUAAUACCGCAUAAUGUUUCUGGACCGCAUGAUCUGGAAACCAAAGAUUUAUUGCUGAAAGAUGGUCUCGCGUCUGAUUAGCUAGAUGGCGGGGUAACGGCCCACCAAGUCGACGAUCGGUAGCCGGACUGAGAGGUUGAACGGCCACAUUGGGACUGAGACACGGCCCAGACUCCUACGGGAGGCAGCAGUGGGGAGUAUUGCACAAUGGGGGAAACCCUGAUGCAGCGACGCCGCGUGAGUGAAGAAGUAUUUCGGUAUGUAAAGCUCUAUCAGCAGGGAA
This 417-nucleotide ribosomal RNA is filed under the name uncultured bacterium. Its description in RNAcentral is "bacterial SSU rRNA". It matches the Rfam family "Bacterial small subunit ribosomal RNA", at positions 28 to 446 of the family's 1533-position model. The record is from RNAcentral.